AAAUGUGAGGGUGAUCUGGAUGCAACCACUGUCAGUGCAUGGAUCACUAGGAUUGAUUCAGGUGAUUGGCUGGAGAAACAGGUGUCCCCUUCCUUCUUCACACUCUAUGUGUGCCCCUUCUAAAACCACACACUGAGUGGAAGAAGAUGACCUUCCUGGGUAAAGGGGGACCAUUCUUUUGUCAGGGGUAUAUGAGUAGCUGCUCCCUCAAACAAACUCUCAAGGUCCAUUUGUAGGGGAAUGUAGGGUAGUCAAGAUAAUUAAAAAAAAAAAAAUGAU
Molecule: small nuclear RNA, 279 nt
Filed under: Neogale vison (American mink)
Lineage: Eukaryota; Metazoa; Chordata; Mammalia; Carnivora; Mustelidae
Description: Neovison vison (American mink) 7SK RNA (ENSNVIG00000001191.1)
Rfam family: 7SK RNA
About the family: 7SK was discovered as an abundant small nuclear RNA in the mid-70s but a possible function has only recently been suggested. Two independent studies have found that 7SK RNA binds the CDK9/cyclin T complex (known as elongation factor P-TEFb).
Source: RNAcentral